UCGUAACAAGGUUUCCGUAGGUGAACCUGCGGAAGGAUCAUCA
RNAcentral lists this ribosomal RNA (43 nucleotides) under Codium cylindricum. Its description in RNAcentral is "partial 18S ribosomal RNA". It matches the Rfam family "Eukaryotic small subunit ribosomal RNA", at positions 1789 to 1831 of the family's 1831-position model. The record is from RNAcentral. Lineage: Eukaryota; Viridiplantae; Chlorophyta; Ulvophyceae; Bryopsidales; Codiaceae.